GAUGAACGCUGGCGGCGUGCCUAAUACAUGCAAGUCGAGCGAACGGACGAGAAGCUUGCUUCUCUGAUGUUAGCGGCGGACGGGUGAGUAACACGUGGAUAACCUACCUAUAAGACUGGGAUAACUUCGGGAAACCGGAGCUAAUACCGGAUAAUCUUUUGAACCGCAUGGUUCAAAAGUGAAAGACGGUCUUGCUGUCACUUAUAGAUGGAUCCGCGCUGCAUUAGCUAGUUGGUAAGGUAACGGCUUACCAAGGCAACGAUGCAUAGCAGACCUGAGAGGCGGAUCGGCCACAUUGGAACUGAGACACGGACAAGACGCCUAAGGUAGGCAGCAGUAGGGAAUCUUCCGCAAUGGUCGAAAGCCUGACGGAGCAACGCCGCGUGAGUGAUGAAGGUCUUCGGAUCGUAAAACCCUGUUAUGAGGGAAGAACAUAUGUGUAAGUAACUGUGCACAGCGUGACGGUACCGAAUCAGAAAGCCACGGCUAACUACGUG
This 497-nucleotide ribosomal RNA is filed under the name uncultured bacterium. RNAcentral describes it as "partial 16S ribosomal RNA". It matches the Rfam family "Bacterial small subunit ribosomal RNA", at positions 28 to 507 of the family's 1533-position model. The record is from RNAcentral.